Molecule: ribosomal RNA, 497 nt
Filed under: uncultured bacterium
Lineage: Bacteria
Description: bacterial SSU rRNA
Rfam family: Bacterial small subunit ribosomal RNA (bases 1-415)
Source: RNAcentral
AGCGGUUCGGCCGGGCACUCACGCGAGACAGCCGGGGACGACCCGGAGGAAGGUGGGGAUGACGUCAAAUCCGCAUGGCCUUUAUGUCCUGGGCUACACACGUGCUACAAUGGCCGCGACAAUGGGUCGCUACGACGCGAGUCGAUGCUAACCCCCAAACGCGGUCUCAGUUCGGAUUGCAGGCUGCAACCCGCCUGCAUGAAGCCGGAAUUGCUAGUAAUCGCGGAUCAGCAUGCCGCGGUGAAUCCGUUCCCGGGCCUUGUACACACCGCCCGUCACACCACGAGAGUUGGCCACACCCGAAGCCGGGCCCGCGAACCUUUCGAGGACGCGGCCGUCGACGGUGGGGUUGGUAAUUGGGGUGAAGUCGUAACAAGGUAGCCGUAUCGGAAGGUGCGGCUGGAUCACCUCCUUUCUAGGGAGUACCCGAUUCUGACGAUGUGGUUUUGAAGGACUGGGCGCGGCCCCGCACGGGGCCGAUGGGGCCGAUAGCGCAG